This 248-nucleotide long non-coding RNA is filed under the name Elaeis guineensis (African oil palm). Its description in RNAcentral is "long non-coding RNA (EGUI_LNC003207)". The record is from RNAcentral. Lineage: Eukaryota; Viridiplantae; Streptophyta; Magnoliopsida; Arecales; Arecaceae.
UGGGAGGAUCCUACCCUCAAGGUCGGUAAAUAUCGGGUUAGGAGGUCAAGCAAAAAUCGAAGUCGAUGAUGUAGGGUUGCUUUGUUGUGGUUCCUCAGGUCUUUCCCCGAUCCUCGAAGCCUUCUCAACGGCAAGUACUCGAUCGUAAUCCGAAGAGGAGAUGUUGGAUCGGAUGGUGGAUAACCUCCACAACAUAUGCUAUUGAUGUUUCUUCAGGCUUUAUGGUUCACGAUUCUGCAAGUGAUGAU